This 424-nucleotide ribosomal RNA is filed under the name uncultured Lactobacillus sp. RNAcentral's name for it is "bacterial SSU rRNA". It matches the Rfam family "Bacterial small subunit ribosomal RNA", at positions 358 to 774 of the family's 1533-position model. The record is from RNAcentral. Lineage: Bacteria; Bacillati; Bacillota; Bacilli; Lactobacillales; Lactobacillaceae.
GGAAUCUUCCACAAUGGACGAAAGUCUGAUGGAGCAACGCCGCGUGUAUGAAGAAGGUCUUCGGAUCGUAAAAUACUGUUGUCAGAGAAGAACACGUGAUAGAGUAACUACUAUGGCGCUGACGGUAUCUGACCAGCAAGUCACGGCUAACUACGUGCCAGCAGCCGCGGUAAUACGUAGGUGGCAAGCGUUAUCCGGAUUUAUUGGGCGUAAAGCGAGCGCAGGCGGUUUCUUAAGUCUGAUGUGAAAGCCUUCGGCUUAACCGAAGAAGUGCAUCGGAAACUGGGAAACUUGAGUGCAGAAGAGGACAGUGGAACCCCAUGUGUAGCGGUGAAAUGCGUAGAUAUAUGGAAGAACACCAGUGGCGAAGGCGGCUGUCUGGUCUGUAACUGACGCUGAGGCUCGAAAGCAUGGGUAGCGAACA